GAUGAACGCUGGCGGCGUGCUUAACACAUGCAAGUCGAACGGUGAAGCAGGAGCUUGCUCCUGUGGAUCAGUGGCGAACGGGUGAGUAACACGUGAGUAACCUGCCCCAGACUCUGGGAUAAGCGUUGGAAACGACGUCUAAUACCGGAUACGAGACGAGAAGGCAUCUUCAUCGUCUGGAAAGAACUUCGGUCUGGGAUGGACUCGCGGCCUAUCAGGUAGUUGGUGAGGUAACGGCUCACCAAGCCUACGACGGGUAGCCGGCCUGAGAGGGUGACCGGCCACACUGGGACUGAGACACGGCCCAGACUCCUACGGGAGGCAGCAGUGGGGAAUAUUGCACAAUGGGCGCAAGCCUGAUGCAGCAACGCCGCGUGAGGGACGACGGCCUUCGGGUUGUAAACCUCUUUUAGUAGGGAAGAAGCGAAA
Molecule: ribosomal RNA, 429 nt
Filed under: bacterium Ellin7540
Lineage: Bacteria
Description: bacterial SSU rRNA
Rfam family: Bacterial small subunit ribosomal RNA
Source: RNAcentral